UUGCACGCUGGCGGCAUGCCUUACCCAUGCAAGUCGAACGGUAACAGGUUAAGCUGACGAGUGGCGAACGGGUGAGUAAUACAUCGGAACGUGCCCAGUAGUGGGGGAUAGCCCGGCGAAAGCCGGAUUAAUACCGCAUACGACCUAAGGGUGAAAGGGGGGGAUCGCAAGACCUCUCGCUAUUGGAGCGGCCGAUGUCAGAUUAGCUAGUUGGUGGGGUAAAAGCUCACCAAGGCGACGAUCUGUAGCUGGUCUGAGAGGACGACCAGCCACACUGGGACUGAGACACGGCCCAGACUCCUACGGGAGGCAGCAGUGGGGAAUUUUGGACAAUGGGCGCAAGCCUGAUCCAGCCAUGCCGCGUGCGGGAAGAAGGCCUUCGGGUUGUAAACCGCUUUUGUCAGGGAAGAAAUCCUUUGGGUUAAUACCUCGGGGGGAUGACGGUACCUGAAGAAUAAGCACCGGCUAACUACGUG
This 476-nucleotide ribosomal RNA is filed under the name uncultured bacterium. Its description in RNAcentral is "partial 16S ribosomal RNA". It matches the Rfam family "Bacterial small subunit ribosomal RNA", at positions 30 to 507 of the family's 1533-position model. The record is from RNAcentral.